CCCUUAGAUGUUCGGGGCCGCACGCGCGCUACACUGAAGGACUCAGCGUGUCUCUCCCCCUAUCCCGAAAGGGAUGGGCAACCCGUUGAACCUCCUUCGUGCUGGGGAUUGGGGUUUGCAAUUAUCUCCCAUGAACGAGGAAUUCCCAGUAAGCGCGAGUCAUCAGCUCGCGUUGAUUACGUCCCUGCCCUUUGUACACACCGCCCGUCGCUACUACCGAUUGGAUGGUUUAGUGAGACCCUCGGAUCGGUCCCGACUCGGGGUGGGCUUCUGCCCCGGUCGUGGUUUCGCCGAGAAGACGGUCAAACUUGACUAUCUAGAGGAAGUAAAAGUCGUAACA
RNAcentral lists this ribosomal RNA (340 nucleotides) under uncultured eukaryote. RNAcentral describes it as "partial 18S ribosomal RNA". It matches the Rfam family "Eukaryotic small subunit ribosomal RNA", at positions 1470 to 1796 of the family's 1831-position model. The record is from RNAcentral.